RNAcentral lists this ribosomal RNA (1334 nucleotides) under uncultured bacterium. Its description in RNAcentral is "16S ribosomal RNA". It matches the Rfam family "Bacterial small subunit ribosomal RNA", at positions 30 to 1381 of the family's 1533-position model. The record is from RNAcentral.
UGAACGCUGGCGGCGUGGCUAAGACAUGCAAGUCGUGCGGGGUGUAGCAAUACAUCCAGUGGCGGACGGGUGAGUAAUGAAUCGCUAACGUACCCCGAUCUCCGGGAUAGCCGGCCGAAAGGCCGGGUAAUACCGGGUAACAUCGCCCCGCGGCAUCGCGGGGCGCUCGAAGGGCAACCGGUUCGGGAGCGGGCGAUUUCGUAUCAGCUAGUUGGUGGGGUAACGGCCCACCAAGGCGACGACGCGUAGCUGGUCUGAGAGGACGGCCAGCCACAUUGGGACUGAGACACUGCCCAGACUCCUACGGGGGGCUGCAGUAACGAAUCUUCCGCAAUGCACGCAAGUGUGACGGAGCGACGCCGCGUGGAGGUUAAGUCCUUCGGGAUGUAAACUCCUGUCAGGGGUUACCAAGUUCUGAGGAGCCCCAGAGGAAGGCACGGCUAACUCUGUGCCAGCAGCCGCGGUAAUACAGAGGUGCCAAGCGUUAGGCGGAAUCACUGGGCUUAAAGCGCGUGUAGGCGGGUCGUUAAGUGUCUUGUGAAAUCCCACGGCUCAACCGUGGAACUGCUGGGCAUACUGACGAUCUUGAGGCACUCAGGGGCCGUCGGAACAAAUGGUGGAGCGGUGAAAUGCGUAGAUAUCAUUUGGAACGCCAACGGCGAAAGCAGACGGCUGGGGGUGUCCUGACGCUGAGACGCGAAAGCCAGGGGAGCGAACGGGAUUAGAUACCCCGGUAGUCCUGGCCCUAAACGAUGUCCACUAGGCCGCGGCGGCUCUGACGCCGUCGCGGCCGGAGCAAAAGUGUUAAGUGGACCGCCUGGGAAGUACGGUCGCAAGGCUAAAACUCAAAGGAAUUGACGGGGGCUCACACAAGCGGUGGAGCAUGUGGUUUAAUUCGAAGCAACGCGCGGAACCUUACCUGGGCUUGACAUGCCCGGAUUAUCCUUGUGAAAGCAGGGUACAGCCCGCAAGGGCCGGAACGGGUACAGGUGCUGCAUGGCUGUCGUCAGCUCGUGUCGUGAGAUGUCGGGUUAAGUCCCUUAACGAGCGAAACCUUUGCCCUUAGUUACCAGCGGGUCAUGCCGGGGACUCUAAGGGGACUGCCGGUGUCAAACCGGAGGAAGGUGGAGAUGACGUCAAGUCCUCAUGGCCUUUAUGCCCAGGGCCACACACGUGCUACAAUGGGACGGACAGAGCGAACCUAACCCGCGAGGGCAUGGAAAUCGCACAAAUCGUCCCUCAGUUCAGAUCGGAGGCUGCAACCCGCCUCCGUGAAGCUGGAAUCGCUAGUAAUCGCGUAUCAGCCACGACGCGGUGAAUGUGUUCCUGAGCCU